Molecule: ribosomal RNA, 400 nt
Filed under: uncultured bacterium
Lineage: Bacteria
Description: bacterial SSU rRNA
Rfam family: Bacterial small subunit ribosomal RNA
Source: RNAcentral
GGGGAAUCUUAGACAAUGGGCGCAAGCCUGAUCUAGCCAUGCCGCGUGAGCGAUGAAGGCCUUAGGGUUGUAAAGCUCUUUCGCUGGGGAAGAUAAUGACUGUACCCAGUAAAGAAGCCCCGGCUAACUCCGUGCCAGCAGCCGCGGUAAUACGGAGGGGGCUAGCGUUAUUCGGAAUUACUGGGCGUAAAGCGCACGUAGGCGGACUGGAAAGUUGGGGGUGAAAUCCCGGGGCUCAACCUCGGAACUGCCUUCAAAACUCCCAGUCUUGAGUUCGAGAGAGGUGAGUGGAAUUCCGAGUGUAGAGGUGAAAUUCGUAGAUAUUCGGAGGAACACCAGUGGCGAAGGCGGCUCACUGGCUCGAUACUGACGCUGAGGUGCGAAAGCGUGGGGAGCAAAC